This 511-nucleotide unclassified non-coding RNA is filed under the name fungal sp. NI-08M. Its description in RNAcentral is "partial contains 18S rRNA, ITS1, 5.8S rRNA, ITS2 and 28S RNA". The stretch from base 130 to 283 matches the Rfam family "5.8S ribosomal RNA". The record is from RNAcentral. Lineage: Eukaryota; Fungi.
CAUCUCACCCUUUGUGCAUCACCGCGUGGGCACCCUUUGGGAUCGGACCGAUCUCAGAAGGGGGCUCACGUUUUCACACAAACCCCCCCAUCUAAAAGUGUAGAAUGUCCUCAUUUAUGCAAUAAAUACAACUUUCAACAACGGAUCUCUUGGCUCUCGCAUCGAUGAAGAACGCAGCGAAAUGCGAUACGUAAUGUGAAUUGCAGAAUUCAGUGAAUCAUCGAAUCUUUGAACGCACCUUGCGCCCCUUGGUAUUCCGAGGGGCACACCCGUUUGAGUGUCGUGAAAAUCUCAACCUCCUUGGUUUCUUCUAGAGACCGAUGGGGGCUUGGACAUUGGAGGGCCUUUGCUGGUGUCUCUCUUGAAGGCCCAGCUCCUCUUAAAUGAAUUAGCAGGGUCCUCUUUGCCGAUCCUCGACAUGUGAUAAGAUGUUUCCGUGUCUUGGUCUCUGGCUCUGUUGCUUUUGGGACCCGCUUCUAAUCGUCUCAACCUUGCAUCGAGACAAACGUCU